GAUGAACGCUGGCGGCGUGCCUAAUACAUGCAAGUCGAGCGAACAGACGAGGAGCUCGCUCCUCUGACGUUAGCGGCGGACGGGUGAGUAACACGUGGAUAACCUACCUAUAAGACUGGGAUAACUUCGGGAAACCGGAGCUAAUACCGGAUAACAUGUUGAACCGCAUGGUUCAACAGUGAAAGACGGUCUUGCUGUCACUUAUAGAUGGAUCCGCGCCGCAUUAGCUAGUUGGUAAGGUAACGGCUUACCAAGGCAACGAUGCGUAGCCGACCUGAGAGGGUGAUCGGCCACACUGGAACUGAGACACGGUCCAGACUCCUACGGGAGGCAGCAGUAGGGAAUCUUCCGCAAUGGGCGAAAGCCUGACGGAGCCACGCCGCGUGAGUGAAGAAGGUCUUCGGAUCGUAAACCUCUGUUAUUAGGGAAGAACAAAUGUGUAAGUAACUAUGCACGUCUUGACGGUACCUAAUCAGAAAGCCACGGCUAACUACGUG
RNAcentral lists this ribosomal RNA (497 nucleotides) under uncultured bacterium. RNAcentral describes it as "partial 16S ribosomal RNA". It matches the Rfam family "Bacterial small subunit ribosomal RNA", at positions 28 to 507 of the family's 1533-position model. The record is from RNAcentral.